This 333-nucleotide non-coding RNA is filed under the name Angiostrongylus costaricensis. RNAcentral describes it as "Eukaryotic small subunit ribosomal RNA". It matches the Rfam family "Eukaryotic small subunit ribosomal RNA", at positions 1188 to 1431 of the family's 1831-position model. Lineage: Eukaryota; Metazoa; Nematoda; Chromadorea; Rhabditida; Metastrongylidae. The record is from Rfam by way of RNAcentral.
GCUUGAUUUGACUCAACAUGGGAAAACACCCUGCCUGGUCACCGUAAUAACUGACAGAUUGAAAGCUCUUUCUCGAUUUGGUGGCUGGUGGUGCAUGGCAACUCUUAGUUGGUGGAGCGAUUUGUCUGCUUUAUUCCGAUAACCAUUGAGACUGUAGUCAGCUAAAUAGUGACUAGAUUUUUAUGUCUGGUCUAUCUCUUCACAAAGAUCCCUCAUAUGAGAAGUCUCGAGUCGGUUAGUCACCAGGCUACGUGGCGUGUCACCAGGUGGCGGAUAGGGGGUUAAUCGCAGACCAAAAGCAACCUUUGCUUCUCUAAGACGCAGAUGGAUCCA